Molecule: ribosomal RNA, 834 nt
Filed under: uncultured Comamonadaceae bacterium
Lineage: Bacteria; Pseudomonadati; Pseudomonadota; Betaproteobacteria; Burkholderiales; Comamonadaceae
Description: bacterial SSU rRNA
Rfam family: Bacterial small subunit ribosomal RNA
Source: RNAcentral
AUGCAGUCGAACGGCAGCACGGACUUCGGUCUGGUGGCGAGUGGCGCAUGGGUGAGUAAUAUAUCGGAACGUGCCCAGUCGUGGGGGAUAACGUAGUGAAAAUUACGCUAAUACCGCAUACGAUCUAAGGAUGAAAGCGGGGGAUCGCAAGACCUCGCGCGAUUGGAGCGGCCGAUAUCAGAUUAGGUAGUUGGUGAGGUAAAGGCUCACCAAGCCAACGAUCUGUAGCUGGUCUGAGAGGACGACCAGCCACACUGGAACUGAGACACGGUCCAGACUCCCACGGGAGGCAGCAGUGGGGAAUUUUGGACAAUGGACGCAAGUCUGAUCCAGCCAUUCCGCGUGCAGGACGAAGGCCUUCGGGUUGUAAACUGCUUUUGUACAGAACGAAAAGGUCUCUAUUAAUACUAGGGGCUCAUGACGGUACUGUAAGAAUAAGCACCGGCUAACUACGUGCCAGCAGCCGCGGUAAUACGUAGGGUGCAAGCGUUAAUCGGAAUUACUGGGCGUAAAGCGUGCGCAGGCGGUUUUGUAAGACAGGCGUGAAAUCCCCGGGCUCAACCUGGGAAUGGCGCUUGUGACUGCAAAGCUGGAGUGCGGCAGAGGGGGAUGGAAUUCCGCGUGUAGCAGUGAAAUGCGUAGAUAUGCGGAGGAACACCGAUGGCGAAGGCAAUCCCCUGGGCCUGCACUGACGCUCAUGCACGAAAGCGUGGGGAGCAAACAGGAUUAGAUACCCUGGUAGUCCACGCCCUAAACGAUGUCAACUGGUUUGUGGGUCUCUUCUGACUCAGUAACGAAAGCUACGCGUGAAGUUGACCGCCUGGGGAGUACGGC